CGGCCUACACAUGCAAGUCGAACGGUAACAGAUCUAGCUUGCUAGAUGCUGACGAGUGGCGCACGGGUGCGUAACGCGUAUACAAUCUACCUCUAACUGAGGGAUAGCCCAGAGAAAUUUGGAUUAAUACCUCAUAGUAUUAUAGAAAGGCAUCUUUUUAUAAUUAAAACUCCGGUGGUUAGAGAUGAGUAUGCGUCCUAUUAGCUAGUUGGUAAGGUAAUAGCUUACCAAGGCAACGAUAGGUAGGGGGCCUGAAAGGGUGAUCCCCCACACUGGUACUGAGACACGGACCAGACUCCUACGGGAGGCAGCAGUGAGGAAUAUUGCACAAUGGAGGAAACUCUGAUGCAGCCAUGCCGCGUGCAGGAUGAAUGCCCUAUGGGUUGUAAACUGCUUUUAUACAAGAAGAAACAUCAGUACGUGUACUGACUUGACGGUAUUGUAUGAAUAAGCACCGGCUAACUCCGUGCCAGCAGCCGCGGUAAUACGGAGGGUGCAAGCGUUAUCCGGAUUUAUUAGGUUUAAAGGGUCCGCAGGCGGAAUAUUAAGUCAGUGGUGAAAGCCUACAGCUCAACUGUAGAACUGCCAUUGAAACUGUUAUUCUUGAGUAUGGAUGAAGUGGGCGGAAUAUGUCAUGUAG
This 640-nucleotide ribosomal RNA is filed under the name uncultured marine bacterium. RNAcentral describes it as "bacterial SSU rRNA". It matches the Rfam family "Bacterial small subunit ribosomal RNA", at positions 44 to 678 of the family's 1533-position model. The record is from RNAcentral.